Molecule: long non-coding RNA, 1063 nt
Organism: Phascolarctos cinereus (koala)
Lineage: Eukaryota; Metazoa; Chordata; Mammalia; Diprotodontia; Phascolarctidae
Source: RefSeq, a predicted model, not a curated record
CACCCACCAGUAGCUAUUGCAACAGUUCAUGUGUGAGGCGAUGAGGGUCUGCACCAGAGUGGUGACAGUGUCAGAGGAGAGAAAGGAACAUAUUCAAGAGACACUGCAAAGGUAAAAUGAACAGGCCUUGGCCACAGCUUGGAUAUAGGAGGCUGUGAGGAUAGUGAGGAGUCCAGGACGAUUCCUAGGUUACAAGCCGGAGAGAUUGGGAAGAUGGUGUUACCCUCUGCAGUAACAGAGGAGCAAUCAUCUGAAAAGGGGACCACAGUCUUCACCAGACUGCCAAGGAGGAACAUGUUGGAAAACAAAAGUUAAGACCCCUGAGAUAAGCAGCCACGGGGUUCUAGCUGCAUUCUCCAGGAAUGAUAUGAAAUCAUAUGUUUCCCCUUGGAUUGAGUUCAGGUCUGAGACUUCCAACAUUUGCUAUGCACUUCUCUUCCAUUAUGAUGUCUGUGAAAGCAUUCCAUGCUCCACUGAUGUCAGGAAGCUUUCAUCCACACGUCUUUCUUCUCGAAACAGGGGAAAGGCCACAUGGUCAAGUACAAUCAUCACUGGAAACUCUCCCUCAGGAUGCAGCGACUGGGGACUUUUCUGGGCCUGCUUUGUGGAGGUGAUCUUCCAUUGCUGUUUGACACAUCUCUGAUGGCUCUUCGGGAGGAAGAGGGAGAAUGAAGGUUGUUAUACACACAACAACAAAAAAUAAGAAUGAAAAUCUGUUUCAAGUGAAUGCCCUUUCUGGGUGUUUCGCUCGACCAGCAAGGACCCUACAGGGCAUCUAGGAAAAAAGAUCAGCUAUUCUACUGAGGACCAGAGAGUUGAACAAUCUGUUGGAGGUUCCGAGUGGUGGAAGCAUGAUCUAAACCCAUAUUUUCAGACUCCAAAUCCAGCUUGCUUUCUACUAUACCACAAAGACCUAGAUUUAAAUCCUGACACUGACACAUAGCCUUUGUGUCAUCCUGGGUAAGUUGUCUUUCCAUUCUGGGACUCAUCUUCCUCCACUAUAACAUGUGUGCGUGAGUGUGUGUGUAUGUGCGCAUACCUCCUAUGAGCCAGGCACUGUAUU